This 411-nucleotide ribosomal RNA is filed under the name Apocephalus adustus. Its description in RNAcentral is "partial 16S ribosomal RNA". It matches the Rfam family "Bacterial large subunit ribosomal RNA", at positions 1802 to 2532 of the family's 2925-position model. Lineage: Eukaryota; Metazoa; Arthropoda; Insecta; Diptera; Phoridae. The record is from RNAcentral.
GUUUAUCAAAAACAUGUCUUUUUGAAUUUAAUUUAAAGUCUAGCCUGCCCACUGAAUUAGUUUAAAUGGCCGCAGUAUUUUAACUGUGCAAAGGUAGCAUAAUCAUUAGUCUUUUAAUUGAAGGCUGGAAUGAAUGGUUGGAUGAAAUAUUAACUGUUUCAUAUAAAUUAAUAAUAGAAUUUUAUUUUUUAGUCAAAAAGCUAAAAUUUAAUUAAAAGACGAGAAGACCCUAUAAAUCUUUAUAUUUUAUUGGGGUGAUAUUAAAAUUUAAUAAACUUUUAAUUAAAAAUUAACAUUAAUUAAUGAAUUAUUGAUCCAUAAAUUAUGAUUAAAAAAUUAAGUUACUUUAGGGAUAACAGCGUAAUUUUUUUAGAGAGUUCUUAUUGAUAAAAAAGAUUGCGACCUCGAUGU